GACGAAGUCUGAUGGAGCACGCCGCGUGAGUGAUGAAGGUUUUCGGAUCGUAAAACUCUGUUGUAAGGGAAGAACAAGUACGUUAGUAACUGAACGUACCUUGACGGUACCUUAUUAGAAAGCCACGGCUAACUACGUGCCAGCAGCCGCGGUAAUACGUAGGUGGCAAGCGUUGUCCGGAUUUAUUGGGCGUAAAGCGCGCGCAGGUGGUUUCUUAAGUCUGAUGUGAAAGCCCACGGCUCAACCGUGGAGGGUCAUUGGAAACUGGGAGACUUGAGUGCAGAAGAGGAAAGUGGAAUUCCAAGUGUAGCGGUGAAAUGCGUAAAGAUUUGGAGGAACACCAGUGGCGAAGGCGACUUUCUGGUCUGUAACUGACACUGAGGCGCGAAAGCGUGGGGAGCAAACAGGAUUAAAUACCCUGGUAGUCCACGCCGUAAACGAUGAGUGCUAAGUGUUAGGGGGUUUCCGCCCCUUAGUGCUGCAGCUAACGCAUUAACCACUCCGCCUGGGGAGUACGGCCGCAAGGUUGAAACUCAAAGGAAUGGACGG
RNAcentral lists this ribosomal RNA (549 nucleotides) under Viridibacillus arvi. RNAcentral's name for it is "bacterial SSU rRNA". It matches the Rfam family "Bacterial small subunit ribosomal RNA", at positions 374 to 916 of the family's 1533-position model. The record is from RNAcentral. Lineage: Bacteria; Bacillati; Bacillota; Bacilli; Caryophanales; Caryophanaceae.